Molecule: long non-coding RNA, 1318 nt
Organism: Helianthus annuus (common sunflower)
Lineage: Eukaryota; Viridiplantae; Streptophyta; Magnoliopsida; Asterales; Asteraceae
Exons: 5
Source: RefSeq, a predicted model, not a curated record
UCGUUGGUUCCACCAAAGGUGUAACCUCCAAACCCUAAUCCGGCUCCUCCCUUGUGACCGUCGCUGCUGCCGGCGGCGUUUUUGCUAUCCAUGGCGACGGUUGCUCGUCCCCCUUCACCAUCGCUCUUCUUCUUAUGACCAUCUCCCCACCAAUCAGGGUAUCCUACAAUUUUAAAACACUGAUCUUUCGUGUGUCUCAUCAUACCGCAGUGGUCACACUUGAGAUUACUUUUAUCUUGUCGGUUCGGCUGUGCAAACUUCUUCGCUGAUUCCGACCGCCGCUGGCUUUUCGUGUGAAACCCUAGACCUUGGGGUUCUCCUGGCUAGACAGAUAAUCCGGCUGCCACUCCAUGCUGUGAUGUUGGUUCUCCAUUGUUAGUGCCAAGGAUACUUUGGUGGGCAGUUUCUUUUCUGACGGCAGCAUAGGCUCCUUCGACGGAAGGAAGGGGAUCCCAUCUGAGGAUUUCUUGCUUUAUUGGAUCGUAUUCGAUCAAGGGCGUUAAGAAACUGAAAUAGUUUCUGUUCAGCACUAAUUUUGUUGUAGGUGGUGAUAUCGACGGCACAUGUCAUGGGAAAUAGAUCAACUGAUUCAAGGUUGGGAUUACCAAGAUAUUCAACUGCAUAAACCACCCUGCUACUGUAAGAAGGAAAUCACCAUCUUUUGUGAGUUAACAUUUAUUUAACUAAAACCAAAACUUGAUAUAUGCUGGUAUUUUGGCAAGACUCUUUUCCAGUACUUGUAAUAGAAAUAAAAGUUGCUGAGAUAUAAUGGCGAUGAUAGUGCGAUACAACCAAAACAACAUCAGGCCACACCAUCUUUCUGGUGCUUGAGGGGCUUUUCAAGGUCCACCCACCUACAUCGAAGUCCAGGAGCAUGGAUGAAGUACUAUUUGAAGAUUGAAGGGCUUAGGAAGGGCGGUGUGGUGACGGUGUUCGAUGCUGAACUGGUGGUUCAGCCAUUGAAGAAUUCGAAGGAGUUGUUAGGGUUCAAAUUGGCUAAUGUGAAUAAGCAGAGGUCAAUCAAAUCUCAAGCUGAUUUACAUCAGAAUCACGCGUAUACGUUGAUAAAGCAAGAGAUCUAAACCGCCAGUGAUAUUGUUUGAUCAUAUGACAUGAGAACUAGCCACCGGUUACAAGUUUACUCACCACCACGACAACACUAAAGGUGGCCACCAGCCCAUGGAUGCAAAUUUGCAGCACUUUUAAGUCCAAAUGCAGCCGGUGAGUAUAUGGACUUGAAGAAAACAUUUUAGAAAUACUUCUUAGUUUGUGUAUAGUGGUUUCCCUCUGUGUAACUUUUGUAGAUAGGUUUUGAUUA